This 292-nucleotide ribosomal RNA is filed under the name uncultured bacterium. Its description in RNAcentral is "partial 16S ribosomal RNA". RNAcentral also lists the same sequence under 2 other names. The record is from RNAcentral.
GGACUACCCGGGUAUCUAAUCCCGUUUGCUCCCCUAGCUUUCGCGCCUCAGCGUCAGAAGAGGUCCAGCACGUCGCUUUCGCCACCGGCGUUCCUUCCGAUAUCUACGCAUUUCACCGCUCCACCGGAAGUUCCACAUGCCCCUACCUCCCUCAAGACCACCAGUAUCAAAGGCAGUUUUCCGGUUAAGCCGAAAGAUUUCACCCCUGACUUGGUGAUCCGCCUACGCGCCCUUUAAGCCCAGUGAAUCCGAACAACGUUCGCACGGUUCGUCUUACCGCGGCUGCUGGCAC